GGUGGUUCAACCAUAUCAGUUAUGGUUGCUAAAGAAGUCCAAGCUGAGGUUGUAUUGCUAUUACUGUCCAUGCUUGGUAUGACUUAUGAGGUCUGCCCUCAAUUCCUUCAAUAGUGAUGUUUGUAGCGAUUGCUAGUCAAUAUCCAUAGAUUCCUUUGUCUGUAAACACUGAACAGAGUCUUCAAUUUUCCUUGAUAUACUUGUUGCCAGAUGAUUUAAAGAAUACGGCACCUGAAACUACACUUUAUGAGGUGGGCAACUGAUUAGGGCAGUUCAAACAAUCGGUUCGGUUUUGAACCAAACUGAAAUAAAAAAUAGAAAAAAGACUAGAUUUAAUGUUGAGCAAACUGAAACAAAACCUAUUUUAAGACUGAAAACCUACGUCAAACUGGAUAAACCGGUUUGGUUCAGUAUAGUUUUUCACUUUUGGCAUUUUCUUUGCUGCAUUUCAAUUGCCAUCUCCAUGCAACCACACUCAAUGUCACAUGAAUUCAUUAAAGAAAGUUAAAAAGAGCAACAUAACAUAAAAAAUACCAGAACAAAUGCAUGUGGUUUUCCAAAAAUUUCAUAACCCAGAUUAAAAAAAAAAAGCUCACAAUCUGGAUUCAAAAACUCUGAAGAUUUCACAACCCAUAUCAACAUAAUCUCACAACCCACUUUUGCAUAAUUUCACAACCCACGUUUGCAUAAUUUCACAACCCAGAUCUGUGACCGUUGAGGACAGCCAUCAGCGAUCUGUGAUCUGCAAUGGAGGAGGAUGUUCAUGCGGUUAUCUGUGACUGGGUGACAAGGGGAAGCUGUAUGGAGAGAUUGAGGCAAAGAUGAGGAAGCAAUGGAGCUGACGCCAGAUUGAGACAGAAAAUGGAGGCCAGAAUGACAUGUGUAGUAGCGAGGGCAGAGUCGAGAGAGCAGCUUCCUCGCAAUUACCAGCCUUUGAGCUAUGACUCUUGAGAGACAGCAGCCUCAGAAUGAAGAUAUAUGACAGACAUAAACUUAAACUCUAUAGAGGCCAUAAAACGGUGGGACUAAAACUUAAAAACAGCAGAGGAUAUAUAAUUGUUAUAAAUCAAUCAGUUUGCUUUCUCUCAUUGAUUUCGGUUGAU
This 1103-nucleotide long non-coding RNA is filed under the name Manihot esculenta (cassava). Its description in RNAcentral is "long non-coding RNA (MESC_LNC003143)". The record is from RNAcentral. Lineage: Eukaryota; Viridiplantae; Streptophyta; Magnoliopsida; Malpighiales; Euphorbiaceae.